UAAAGUUGAGCGGGUGUCAUAAAUUAAACAUGUGCAGUAACAGCUUUCGGGUGUUGCAUUUCAUGUCUCAAGGUUGCUUUACAUUCUCUUUCGCAGAUGUGAAUCAAACCAGACGAUAAAAAAGCUUUCUUUGUUAACAAUAAAUGCUUUUUGAUACUGUAUGUGUUUCAAUGAUAUUUUAGGAGGGUUUGUCGUUUUGCUCUAGUGCAUAUGUAACACUAUUUUAAGAUGACCUAAAUAUACCAGAUUAUUUUUCAUUUUUGAAAGUUGCUAUACAGCAUGUUUUCUUAAAACUACAAUUAAGUACAUGCGCAUGCAGUUUGUUCGCCACUGCCCUGCUCUUAAUGCCGUUUUUAUUCUUCUUUACAGUUUUGUAACUUCUUUUCAGGCCGGUACAUUCCUUUCUAUUCUCCAACAUGUCUGUAGGAAAUUCCGUUAAGGUUCAAAUUCAUCUGAGUUAACAACGUGAUGUUCAAAGGACGACAACUCGGACAAUCACUUAUUUACAGUAUAUUAUUCAUGUAUGGUUUCAAAAAUAGGCAACACAGACUGCUUUUUAUCAUUUAUUCAUGCAUUCAUUCUAAGAUAAGUAAGAAGAUAUAAAAUAUACGUACAAUAUAA
Molecule: long non-coding RNA, 621 nt
Organism: Ruditapes philippinarum (Manila clam)
Lineage: Eukaryota; Metazoa; Mollusca; Bivalvia; Venerida; Veneridae
Exons: 2
Source: RefSeq, a predicted model, not a curated record